This 496-nucleotide long non-coding RNA is filed under the name Pelobates cultripes (western spadefoot toad). Lineage: Eukaryota; Metazoa; Chordata; Amphibia; Anura; Pelobatidae. The record is from RNAcentral.
CCAGUACUGUGUACAAUACUCCAAGUGAGGUCUCACCAGUGUUCUGUACAAUGGCAUGAGCACUUCCCUCUUUCUACUGCUAAUACCUCUCUAUAUACAACCAAGCAUUCUGCUAGCAUUUCCUGCUGCUCUAUUACAUUGUCUGCCUACCUUUAAGUCAUCAGAAAUAAUCACCCCUAAAUCCCUUUCCUCAUAUGUUGGUUAGAACUCUAUCAAAUAUUCUGUACUCUGCCCUUGGGUUUUUAUGUCCAAGAUGCAUUAUCUUGCACUUAUCCACAUUAAAUGUCAGUUGCCACAAUUCUGACCAUUUUUCUAGUUUACCUAAAUCAUUUGUCAUUUGGCUUAUCCCUCCUGGAACAUCAACCCUGUUACAUAUCUUAGUAUCAUCAGCAAAAAGACAUACCUUACCAUCAAGGCCUUCUGCAAUAUCACUAAUAAAAAUAUUAAAGAGAAUGGGUCCAAGUACAGAUCCCUGAGGUACCCCACUGGUGACAAG